Molecule: ribosomal RNA, 548 nt
Filed under: Indothais sacellum
Lineage: Eukaryota; Metazoa; Mollusca; Gastropoda; Neogastropoda; Muricidae
Description: partial 12S ribosomal RNA
Source: RNAcentral
AAACCAAGAAGAUUAAGUCAUGCAUUUUCGGUGAAAAGACAGUUAAGUAGUAUAAAAGCUUUUUAAAUUGUUAUUAAGAAGUAAAAUUCGCAAAUAAUCUAGAAACUUAAUUAAAGCUAAAAAACUGAAGCUGUGACACCCUCGAGGGAAACUGGGAUUAGAUACCCCAUUAUUCUUGGAUAUAAAAAGAUAUAAGUUUACCAGAGUACUAUGAAUUGAUAACAUUUAAAACUCAAAGAGCUUGGCGGUGUUUUAGACUCUUUAGGGGAACCUGUCUCAUAAUCGACAAUCCACGUUAAACCUGACCUUUAUUUGCAUUCAGUUUGUAUACCGUCGUCGUCAGGUAACUUUUUAGAAAAAAGGAGUUAGCAAUUGAGUUAACGAUAAACUCUCACGUCAGAUCAAGGUGCAGCCGACAUAAAGGGGAGGAUGGGUUACAAUUAUAAGAAUUAUAACUACGGAAUAACAACUUUAAAUAGAAGUUAUGAAGGAGGACUUAAAAGUAAAAUAAAAUAGUUAAAUAUAUUGAAUCGAGCUCUGAAACGUGC